GUGGGGAAUAUUGGACAAUGGGCGAAAGCCUGAUCCAGCCAUGCCGCGUGUGUGAAGAAGGUCUUCGGAUUGUAAAGCACUUUAAGUUGGGAGGAAGGGCAUUAACCUAAUACGUUAGUGUUUUGACGUUACCGACAGAAUAAGCACCGGCUAACUUCGUGCCAGCAGCCGCGGUAAUACGAAGGGUGCAAGCGUUAAUCGGAAUUACUGGGCGUAAAGCGCGCGUAGGUGGUUUGUUAAGUUGAAUGUGAAAGCCCCGGGCUCAACCUGGGAACUGCAUCCAAAACUGGCAAGCUAGAGUAUGGCAGAGGGUGGUGGAAUUUCCUGUGUAGCGGUGAAAUGCGUAGAUAUAGGAAGGAACACCAGUGGCGAAGGCGACCACCUGGGCUAAUACUGACACUGAGGUGCGAAAGCGUGGGGAGCAAACAGG
This 430-nucleotide ribosomal RNA is filed under the name uncultured Pseudomonas sp. RNAcentral describes it as "bacterial SSU rRNA". It matches the Rfam family "Bacterial small subunit ribosomal RNA", at positions 354 to 776 of the family's 1533-position model. Lineage: Bacteria; Pseudomonadati; Pseudomonadota; Gammaproteobacteria; Pseudomonadales; Pseudomonadaceae. The record is from RNAcentral.